Molecule: ribosomal RNA, 259 nt
Filed under: uncultured bacterium
Lineage: Bacteria
Description: partial 16S ribosomal RNA
Rfam family: Bacterial small subunit ribosomal RNA
Source: RNAcentral
UGGCGGACGGGUGAGUAACGCGUGGGUAACCUGCCUCAUAUAGGGGGAUAACAGUUGGAAACGACUGCUAAUACCGCAUAAGCGCACAGGGUCGCAUGACCUGGUGUGAAAAACUCCGGUGGUAUGAGAUGGACCCGCGUCUGAUUAGCCAGUUGGUGGGGUAACGGCCUACCAAAGCGACGAUCAGUAGCCGACCUGAGAGGGUGACCGGCCACAUUGGGACUGAGACACGGCCCAGACUCCUACGGGAGGCAGCAUG